RNAcentral lists this unclassified non-coding RNA (153 nucleotides) under soil metagenome. Its description in RNAcentral is "partial internal transcribed spacer 1". The record is from RNAcentral.
GUGAUUAAAUCGAGCGUGUCUUCAUUGACCGCUCACCCUUCUCACCAUCCACAUACACCAGUGCACUGUUUAGCCUGAGCCGGUUUUCCGGUCCAGGUUAUCAUUUCAUACAAACUCUAGUCUUAUGAAUGUAAACGUUUUAAUAACAUAAUA